AUGAUGUGAACCAGUGACGCUAUCACCCUGAAGCAGGAGCACAGAGGCACGUGUGACCUGUGUUGGGACUAAACCAGUAAUAGCAUCACUGCAGAGCAAACAAGCACCAGGCCUCUCUUCAGCACCAACAUUAAGGGCAGUGAGGCAUCUAGCAUUUGAAAGCAAAAGUAAAUUGAAUCCUCUUGAAGAAAAUUAUCUUCGACAAUAUCAAGGGGAAGAUGAAGAAAUGAUGUGCACAAGAGUUGAAGAACCUGCUCUCGGUUAAACUGCUAACAUGGCUGGUUAAGGAUUCAAUCUUCACUUUAUAUGAUUCCAAAGACUGUGUUAUUCUCCAUACUCCUGUCUCAACUGUUGCAGAAUCACAGGAUCUAAUAUUGCAAAUAAGCUUAUAGAUGGAUCUAA
This is a long non-coding RNA of Pan troglodytes (chimpanzee), 402 nucleotides long. RefSeq lists it as uncharacterized. The record is from RefSeq and is a predicted model, not a curated record. The transcript is spliced from 2 exons. NCBI's taxonomy places the organism in Eukaryota, Metazoa, Chordata, Mammalia, Primates, Hominidae.